Non-coding RNA from Stegodyphus mimosarum, 73 nucleotides. The record is from Rfam. Lineage: Eukaryota; Metazoa; Arthropoda; Arachnida; Araneae; Eresidae.
GCCUUCGUAGCGUAGCGGUCAGCACACCCGACGCGAAUUCGAGAGGUCCGUGGUUCGAGUCCCGGCGAGGGCA